Molecule: non-coding RNA, 74 nt
Organism: Pteropus alecto (black flying fox)
Lineage: Eukaryota; Metazoa; Chordata; Mammalia; Chiroptera; Pteropodidae
Source: Rfam
GGCUCCAUAGUGUAGUGGCUAGCACAUCUGCUUUACACGCAGAAGGUCCUGGGUUCGCACCCCAGGUGGAGCCA